This 618-nucleotide long non-coding RNA is filed under the name Capsicum annuum. RNAcentral's name for it is "long non-coding RNA (CANN_LNC021010)". Lineage: Eukaryota; Viridiplantae; Streptophyta; Magnoliopsida; Solanales; Solanaceae. The record is from RNAcentral.
GCUGAGUCAAGGGCGGAUCCCGCAUAGCCCAUAGAAUUACAGAUUUGUAGGGUGUACCGACUAGCUUAGAAUAAUAAUAAAGAGUGAGUCAACGUUUUCAAGAAACUGUUCUGAAAUUAUUAAAUAUGCCCAUGUAUUUUAUUUACAUAAUGUUCACUGUUAUUACGGUACUCUUUCAUUUAUUUUGUAUAAAACCAUGUUAUUUUAAGUUGUUUCACAUACCAGUACAUCUGUAUUGACCCCCUAUAUGUCAGGAUCUGAGACACAGUCCCGGGGUCCAACUAAUUAGUAGAUUGGGUUGUCCGAAGUUUGCAUUAGGUGAGCCUUCUUUAUUUUGGAAGACCCAUUUUUUAUUUGUUGUUUCCUUUUGGAUUUUGGGUCCGACUGGGGGCCUUGUCCCAGUUUUUACUUAUGUUGAUUGGUUUUGAUGUACUAGAGAUUUCACAGAUAGAUGUUAGAUGAUGUUGAAGGUUUAUUGAUUUCUGCAGACAGAUGUUAGAUGAUGUUCGAGGUUUAUUGAUUUCUUUUGACUGUUCAGUCGUAUGAUGUAUUGACCAUGUUUCUGUAUGAAUCUAUUUCUGCAAUCUCUUUAUGAUUGUAUGAACAUGUGUAUGAUUG